This 253-nucleotide ribosomal RNA is filed under the name uncultured bacterium. Its description in RNAcentral is "partial 16S ribosomal RNA". It matches the Rfam family "Bacterial small subunit ribosomal RNA", at positions 524 to 776 of the family's 1533-position model. The record is from RNAcentral.
UACGUAGGGUGCUAGCGUUGUUCGGAAUCAUUGGGCGUAAAGCGCGUGUAGGUGGUUAUGCAAGUCGGAUGUGAAAUCCCUGGGCUCAACCCGGGAAGUGCAUCCGAAACUAUAUAGCUAGAGGACGGCAGAGGAAGGUGGAAUUCCUAGUGUAGAGGUGCAAUUCGUAGAUAUUAGGAGGAAUACCGGUGGCGAAAGCGGCCUUCUGGACCGUUCCUGACACUGAGACGCGAAAGCGUGGGGAGCAAACAGG